RNAcentral lists this ribosomal RNA (293 nucleotides) under Aspergillus niger. Its description in RNAcentral is "partial large subunit ribosomal RNA". It matches the Rfam family "Eukaryotic large subunit ribosomal RNA", at positions 304 to 602 of the family's 3401-position model. Lineage: Eukaryota; Fungi; Ascomycota; Eurotiomycetes; Eurotiales; Aspergillaceae. The record is from RNAcentral.
CCAGACAGAUAGCGAACAAGUACUUCCCAGACCGAUAGCGAACAAGUAGAGUGAUCGAAAGAUGAAAAGCACUUUGAAAAGAGAGUUAAACAGCACGUGAAAUUGUUGAAAGGGAAGCGCUUGCGACCAGUCUCGCCCGCGGGGUUCAGCGGGCAUUCGUGCCGGUGUACUUCCCCGUGGGCGGGCCAGAGUCGGUUUGGGGGGCCGGUCAAAGGCCCCUGGAAGGUAGUACCCUCCGGGGUACCUUAUAGCCAGGGGUGCAAUGCCACCAGCCUGGACCUAGGAACGCGUUU